CUUACUACAUGGCUAGAGAACUUAAAACAGAUGCAGAUAUAAUUUUUAUGCCUUACAACUAUCUCUUAGAUCCAAAAUCAAGAAGAGCAAAUGGUGUUGAACUACAAGGGAAUGUACUCAUCUUUGAUGAAGCUCAUAACUUGG
This is a long non-coding RNA of Patella vulgata (common limpet), 144 nucleotides long. RefSeq lists it as uncharacterized. The transcript has 2 exons. The record is from RefSeq and is a predicted model, not a curated record. Lineage: Eukaryota; Metazoa; Mollusca; Gastropoda; Patellidae.